AUACGUAGGGUGCGAGCGUUGUCCGGAAUUACUGGGCGUAAAGAGCUCGUAGGAGGUUUGUCGCGUCGUCUGGGAAAUUCCGGGGCUUAACUCCGGGCGUGCAGGCGAUACGGGCAUAACUUGAGUACUGUAGGGGAGACUGGAAUUCCUGGUGUAGCGGAGAAAUGCGCAGAUAUCAGGAGGAACACCGGUGGCCAAGGCGGGUCCAUGGGCAUUAACUGACGCUGAGGAGCGAAAGCUUGGGGAGCGAGCAGGAUUAGAUUCCCUGGUUGUCCAUGCCGUAGGCGGUGGGCGCUGGGUGGAGGGGGCUUCCGCGACUUCUGUGCCAUAGCUAACGCAUUAUGCGACCCGGCUGGGGAGUACGGCCGCAAGGCUAAAACUCAAAGUAAUUGACGGGA
Molecule: ribosomal RNA, 398 nt
Filed under: uncultured bacterium
Lineage: Bacteria
Description: partial 16S ribosomal RNA
Rfam family: Bacterial small subunit ribosomal RNA
Source: RNAcentral